CCAAAAGACGGAGUCCUGAGGAAAUGCUACAUUCAAAUUCAUGCUAGUUUUUCGUGGCUACCGACCCUAACUUUAAUAAACAUCAUAAAGAAGAUACACGGAUAACUCAGAACUAAUACAGACAAGAAAUACAAGAACAACAAGAAAACACAAGAGACUCAUCGUAAAUCCCCCUUGAACAAGCACUUUCCUGUCCAGCUCUUCAUUGGGUGUCCGACAGAUUCAGGAGUAACAGGGUUCUUAAGGUAUCGUGCCAAGGAGCUAUGGCGGAUCCCCUAAUAAGUUUCCCCAGACGACACCAGCAACGACAAAAGCAACAGCGAGAAGUUCAACGUCAAAUUCCGAAAUACUAUACCAAUGAAAUCAAUAAAUCAUAGUCAAAUAACA
Long non-coding RNA from Notolabrus celidotus (New Zealand spotty), 387 nucleotides. RefSeq lists it as uncharacterized. The transcript is spliced from 3 exons. The record is from RefSeq and is a predicted model, not a curated record. Lineage: Eukaryota; Metazoa; Chordata; Actinopteri; Labriformes; Labridae.